This 478-nucleotide ribosomal RNA is filed under the name uncultured Alphaproteobacteria bacterium. RNAcentral's name for it is "bacterial SSU rRNA". It matches the Rfam family "Bacterial small subunit ribosomal RNA", at positions 9 to 524 of the family's 1533-position model. The record is from RNAcentral. Lineage: Bacteria; Pseudomonadati; Pseudomonadota; Alphaproteobacteria.
GAGUUUGAUCGUGGCUCAGAACGAACGCUGGCGGCAUGCCUAACACAUGCAAGUCGAACGGGAUCCAGGCUUCGGCCUGGUGAGAGUGGCGGACGGGUGAGUAACGCGUGGGAACCUGCCCAAUGGUCUGGGAUAACCGCGGGAAACUGCGGCUAAUACCGGAUAAGCCCGAGAGGGGAAAGAUUUAUCGCCGAUGGAGGGGCCCGCGUCCGAUUAGGUAGUUGGUGAGGUAACGGCUCACCAAGCCGACGAUCGGUAGCUGGUCUGAGAGGAUGAUCAGCCACACUGGGACUGAGAUACGGCCCAGACUCCUACGGGAGGCAGCAGUGGGGAAUAUUGGACAAUGGGGGCAACCCUGAUCCAGCAAUGCCGCGUGAGUGAUGAAGGCCUUAGGGUUGUAAAGCUCUUUUGGCGGGACGAUGAUGACGGUACCCGCAGAAUAAGCCCCGGCUAACUUCGUGCCAGCCGCCGCAGUAAU